RNAcentral lists this ribosomal RNA (497 nucleotides) under uncultured bacterium. Its description in RNAcentral is "partial 16S ribosomal RNA". It matches the Rfam family "Bacterial small subunit ribosomal RNA", at positions 28 to 507 of the family's 1533-position model. The record is from RNAcentral.
GAUGAACGCUGGCGGCGUGCCUAAUACAUGCAAGUCGAGCGAACAGACGCGGAGCUUGCUCCUCUGACGUUAGCGGCGGACGGGUGAGUAACACGUGGAUAACCUACUUAUAAGACUGGGAUAACCUCGGGACACCGGAGCUAAUACCGGAUAAUCUAUUGAACCGCAUGGUUCAAUAGUGAAAGACGGUUUUGCUGUCUCUUAUAGAUGGAUCCGCGCCGCAUUAGCUAGUUGGUAAGGUAACGGCUUACCAAGGCUACGAUGCGUAGCCGACCUGAGAGGGGGAUCGGCCACCCUGGAGCGGAGACACGGUCCAGACGCCUACGGGAGGCAGCAGUAGGGAAUCUGCGGCAAUGGGCGAGAGCCUGACGGAACGACGCCGCGUCAGUGAUGAAGGUCUUCGGAUCGUAAUGCUCUGUUAUGAGGGGAGAACAAAUGUGUAAGUAACUAUACACGGCUUGACGGUACCUGGUCAGAAAGCCACGGCUAACUACGUG